GAUCAUGGCUCAGGAUGAACGCUAGCGGCAGGCUUAAUACAUGCAAGUCGUGGGGCAGCAGGUUUGUAGCAAUACAGAUGCUGGCGACCGGCAAACGGGUGCGGAACACGUACAGAACCUUCCUUUGAGCGGGGAAUAGCCCAGAGAAAUUUGGAUUAAUACCCCAUAGUAUAAUGAAGUGGCAUCACUUUAUUAUUAAAGAUUUAUCACUCGAAGAUGGCUGUGCGGCUGAUUAGGUAGUUGGCGGGGUAAAGGUCCACCAAGCCUGCGAUCAGUAACUGGUGUGAGAGCACGACCAGUCACACGGGCACUGAGACACGGGCCCGACUCCUACGGGAGGCAGCAGUAAGGAAUAUUGGUCAAUGGAGGCAACUCUGAACCAGCCAUGCCGCGUGGAGGAUGAAGGUCCUCUGGAUUGUAAACUUCUUUUAUAUGGGACGAAAAAGGCUUUUCUAAGUCGUCUGACGGUACCAUAUGAAUAAGCACCGGCUAACUCCGUG
RNAcentral lists this ribosomal RNA (500 nucleotides) under uncultured bacterium. Its description in RNAcentral is "bacterial SSU rRNA". It matches the Rfam family "Bacterial small subunit ribosomal RNA", at positions 15 to 507 of the family's 1533-position model. The record is from RNAcentral.